Molecule: long non-coding RNA, 1064 nt
Filed under: Betta splendens (Siamese fighting fish)
Lineage: Eukaryota; Metazoa; Chordata; Actinopteri; Anabantiformes; Osphronemidae
Description: lncRNA (ENSBSLG00000010493.1)
Source: RNAcentral
GUGUUUCUUCAAUCCAAAGACAGAGACCAGAAAACAGAAAUGCUGAACCUAAAAAGUGAAGGUGAGCUCAUGCUUCUGCACUUCAUCUGUUUUAUACAUGUUUAUGUAAUAGCAGCCUAAUGUGUAAUUCAUUUAUUGUCAACAACAGACUGCUGACGUGCAAAUGUAGGUGUUGUAUAAGAGAAUAAAUAUGGACUUCUUACGGUACAACGGUAAACUUGCUGCUGUUCAGAUGAUCCAGAUCUGGUAUAAAUGCAGUGUUUUAUGCUUAUGAACAGUCUUCUCUCAUCAGAUGUUAACGCUGGUGGUUUAUUAAACCAAGGAGACACUUGUUACCUGAACAAUGUGAAGCAGGAGCUGUUCCAAGGCUUCAGAGAAGCUGUGGAGAGACACAACACCUGCAUGGAUCGACACCUUAAAGACCUGUUUGAUGAGCUGCAGCGUCGCACACCCAGCACCAACACAAUCCUAAACAAGCUGGGCAUCGACAGAGGUACAGGAUCAGCAGAACAGCGUCAGCGUCACGUCUGCUGAUCAGAGUCCUGUGGAUGUGGGUCCUGAACCACACACAAUCAGCAUUUGUCUGAAUGAGCUCAUUGGUCGCUCUGCUCCUGUUUCCUCAGUGUGGGAACAACAAGACGCUGCUGAGUUCUACGUAAAGAUCUUAAGUCAAACCAGUGAAGCUGCUUCACAGGUAAAAACAUCACUAACGUCAAACAGUCGCUCAGAUCCAAACUAACACUUAUCAGUGUCUGUGUUUUGUUUGCAGAUCUUCCACGGAGCGUUGACACAUACGACCAUAUGUCAUAAUCCUCAGUGUGGAGCACAGAAACCUGCAGACUCACGUUUCUGGCAUCUUCCUCUCUCAUUGAAUGAUUCCCACAGUGAAGAAUAUCAAGUGGUGAGAAUCUGACGGUCUGUGAACUAAACACAUGGUGUCAAACAGACCAAAGACUAAUGUAAAGAUACAUCAGCGUGAUGUUGGGUCAGAACCAUUACUCUUUACUUAGUUACUCUUUACCUUGUACAGAUAAACAGCCGCCACCAUCGCUGUGUAAUGAAAC